GUGCCAGCCGCCGCGGUAAUACGUAGGGCGCAAGCGUUAUCCGGAAUUAUUGGGCGUAAAGAGCUCGUAGGCGGUUUGUCGCGUCUGCCGUGAAAGUCCGGGGCUUAACCCCGGAUCUGCGGUGGGUACGGGCAGACUAGAGUGCAGUAGGGGAGACUGGAAUUCCUGGUGUAGCGGUGAAAUGCGCAGAUAUCAGGAGGAACACCGAUGGCGAAGGCAGGUCUCUGGGCUGUAACUGACGCUGAGGAGCGAAAGCAGGGGGAGCGAACAGGAUUAGAUACCCCAGUAGUCC
RNAcentral lists this ribosomal RNA (292 nucleotides) under uncultured bacterium. RNAcentral's name for it is "partial 16S ribosomal RNA". It matches the Rfam family "Bacterial small subunit ribosomal RNA", at positions 505 to 796 of the family's 1533-position model. The record is from RNAcentral.